UACAGAGGUGGCAAGCGUUGUUCGGAAUUACUGGGCGUAAAGGGCGCGUAGGCGGCCUUCUAAGUCAGACGUGAAAUCCCCAGGCUUAACCUGGGAACUGCGUCUGAUACUGGAAGGCUUGAGUUCGGGAGAGGAAUGUGGAAUUCCAGGUGUAGCGGUGAAAUGCGUAGAUAUCUGGAGGAACACCGGUGGCGAAGGCGGCAUUCUGGACCGAAACUGACGCUGAGGCGCGAAAGCCAGGGGAGCAAACGGG
Molecule: ribosomal RNA, 253 nt
Filed under: uncultured bacterium
Lineage: Bacteria
Description: partial 16S ribosomal RNA
Rfam family: Bacterial small subunit ribosomal RNA
Source: RNAcentral